RNAcentral lists this ribosomal RNA (837 nucleotides) under Triticum aestivum (bread wheat). RNAcentral describes it as "partial small subunit ribosomal RNA". The record is from RNAcentral. Lineage: Eukaryota; Viridiplantae; Streptophyta; Magnoliopsida; Poales; Poaceae.
AUGCAGUACUAGUCGGUGGAGGAGGCGGAGGAGAUCCUGGGCAAGCGCGUGCGCGUCGACCGCCUCGACAGCCGGACCCAUGAGCGCGGCCACACCAAAACGUUCGCGUGCUGGGUCUGGACCGGCGAUGUCGCCAACAUCCCCACCAAGCACACACUGGGGGUGCUACCGCGCGGUGCCGGCCAGGUGGAGGAGAUGGAGGGGUUCCCCCCCGACAGGCGCGUCGCUCCCCCGCCGGCCACCACUGACUACACCAUGCUCAUCCACGUUGACCGCGUGGAGGAUUGGACGCCGCCAUCGCCGCGCUCUUCCCACUCGGGGCAGAGCGGACUGCCAUCCUCUGACUCCGACACCGAUAACCGCCCCUUCCCUGAGGUCCUCUCCGGCACGUGGACGAUGGAGGUUGAAGAUGGCCAGCGCGGAGAUCGACAGCAGUGCCUGGGUCGGGCGCCGGUCGCUGACCUGGGCUGCCGCGGCCUGCCUCAUGGUGGGCACGAGCGCGCCCGUGAUGAAGAUGACGGCGCUGGACGCGGCGGCCGUCGCUCCUGGAAGGAUGCCCUACUUCGGCGUGGACGUGCGCUCGCCCAUCAGCCUUCGGCUCCGGCCCCGCGUCAGCGCAGCCGCUCCCUCCUGCAUGGCGCCACUCCAGGAGCGCGCGCACCCAUCGUCGUGAUGAGAAGAAGGCCACAACUGGGGCGACAUGCCCACCCCAGCGCCGUCGAUCGACCCCCUGCCUACGCCCUCGGCUGGGGGGAAACGUCGCCGUCAGAAACAACGACAAGGACCCUGUCGACGAGUUCUUCAAGGCGGCAAAGUGACCUUCCGUCGCCUCCGUGA